Molecule: microRNA, 22 nt
Filed under: Panagrellus redivivus
Lineage: Eukaryota; Metazoa; Nematoda; Chromadorea; Rhabditida; Panagrolaimidae
Description: prd-miR-7910a-3p
Source: miRBase by way of RNAcentral
UUAGGACUUGCAUUUCAAAUGU